RNAcentral lists this long non-coding RNA (216 nucleotides) under Lathyrus oleraceus (garden pea). Its description in RNAcentral is "Pisum sativum (pea) long non-coding RNA (PSAT_LNC014339)". Lineage: Eukaryota; Viridiplantae; Streptophyta; Magnoliopsida; Fabales; Fabaceae. The record is from RNAcentral.
UAAAUGUCAUUUACUUACUUCACUGAACCAUAAAUGUCGAGCAACCUAAUGCUCGUACUUUAUCAAAAGAGAUGUAUCAUACGACCCUGCUGAAAAGUCAAUCAGGAUUGUUGCAGAUGUAGAUGCACCAAUAUGCUCUUUUUCACCUAUCAACAUCGAUGGAGCACCCUGUCCUAAACCACAAUCUAUAAUCCUACCGUCUUUGCCUCGUGUUCG